This is a non-coding RNA of Ictalurus punctatus (channel catfish), 60 nucleotides long. The record is from Rfam. NCBI's taxonomy places the organism in Eukaryota, Metazoa, Chordata, Actinopteri, Siluriformes, Ictaluridae.
AGGCAGUGUUGUUAGCUGAUUGUUUCAUAUGAACUAUAAUCACUAACCAUACUGCCAACA